Molecule: long non-coding RNA, 659 nt
Filed under: Anas platyrhynchos platyrhynchos (common mallard)
Lineage: Eukaryota; Metazoa; Chordata; Aves; Anseriformes; Anatidae
Description: lncRNA (ENSAPLG00000025769.1)
Source: RNAcentral
UGUUUCAGUUGGCUUGUUGCAUUCUGUGGCUCAAAUAUAAGGUGCUUUGGAGCCACUACUAAGGGUUUAUGCAGCGUUUGGGUUAAGAUUACUUGCUGCUUCCUGUGUGGGCAACUGGGCAGCAUCAAGACUGCAGAGCUCUGGAGUUUUUCUUUUCUAGUUGUUCUGUCCUCAUUGUAUGAAGACUUUGCUUUUCCCUGGAACCAAAGUGACUCUCUGACUCUGCAACAUGCCUGGAGGAUAGAGUGCUCUAAAUCCUUUCUCUGUUUUGAACUAAACUGUACAGGUAGGGAAAGAAAUUAUGUUGAAAGGCAAAAGCUAUUCGUAGAACAUUACUCAUGUAUUAACUAUGAGAGAGUGACAAAUAAUGCACUGCAUAAGCCAUCUACACUGGCAAAGCAACAAACUGAAAACAAACAGCCCUGGGAGCAGAGACUGAAACUGGCUUCUCUGACCUCUCAGGUGACUUUCCUGACUUGUAAACCAGAGAGAUGUCGUUAGCCCAAUUCAUCUUUGUUUCUCAUAGGCAAGAUGCCCCCAUCCAGUAGGAAAGAGGAAAUUUAUAAGAUGAAGAAUAGACAUAAGACAAUAAGACAUAAAAUCAUCAAUCAGGAUGUACUGAGCAGGGACAGACAAUAAAGAAAAGUCUAAGUGGGAAG